This is a transfer RNA of Dictyostelium discoideum AX4, 89 nucleotides long. It matches the Rfam family "tRNA". From Rfam's summary of the family: Transfer RNA (tRNA) molecules are approximately 80 nucleotides in length. Their secondary structure includes four short double-helical elements and three loops (D, anti-codon, and T loops). Lineage: Eukaryota; Evosea; Eumycetozoa; Dictyosteliales; Dictyosteliaceae. The record is from Rfam.
GGUUCUAUGGUGUAACGGUUAGCACAUCAGACUCUGAAAAUCAUCACCGAAGACAUCUGAGAAUCUGAGUUCGAAUCUCAGUAGGACCA